Molecule: ribosomal RNA, 461 nt
Filed under: uncultured bacterium
Lineage: Bacteria
Description: partial 16S ribosomal RNA
Rfam family: Bacterial small subunit ribosomal RNA
Source: RNAcentral
CCUACGGGAGGCAGCAGUGAGGAAUAUUGGUCAAUGGCCGGAAGGCUGAACCAGCCAAGCCGCGUGAAGGACGAAGGUGCCAUGCAUUGUAAACUUCUUUUGUCAAGGGAUAAAAUCAGGUUCGCGAGUCUGACCGAGGGUACCUGAAGAAAAAGCAUCGGCUAACUCCGUGCCAGCAGCCGCGGUAAUACGGAGGAUGCGAGCGUUAUCCGGAUUUAUUGGGUUUAAAGGGUGCGUAGGCUGUGGGGUAAGUUAGCGGUGAAAUGCCCCCGCUCAACGGGGUGAAGUGCCAUGGAUACUGCCUGGCUGGAAAGCGGAUGCGGUAGGAGGAAUGUGUGGUGUAGCGGUGAAAUGCAUAGAGAUCACACAGAACACCGAUUGCGAAGGCAUCUCACGAAUCCGCGAUUGACGCUGAUGCACGAAAGCGUGGGUAUCAAACAGGAUUAGAUACCCCUGUAGUC